CAGCAGCCGCGGGAACACGGAGGGUGCAAGCGUUAUCCGGAUUCACUGGGUUUAAAGGGUGCGUAGGCGGAUCUGUAAGUCAGUGGUGAAAUCUCCAGGCUUAACCUGGAAACUGCCGUUGAUACUAUAGGUCUUGAAUUUUGUGGAGGUUAGCGGAAUAUGUCAUGUAGCGGUGAAAUGCAUAGCUAUGACAUAGAACACCAAUUGCGAAGGCAGCUGGCUACACAACUAUUGACGCUGAGGCACGAAAGCGUGGGGAUUAAACAGGAUUAGAUACCCCGGUAGUCCCUGUCUCUUAUAC
Molecule: ribosomal RNA, 301 nt
Filed under: uncultured bacterium
Lineage: Bacteria
Description: partial 16S ribosomal RNA
Rfam family: Bacterial small subunit ribosomal RNA
Source: RNAcentral